CAGUCGCCACGGUAAUACGUAGGUGGCAAGCGUUGUCCGGAAUUAUUGGGCGUAAAGGGCUCGCAGGCGGUUGCUUAAGUCUGAUGUGAAAGCCCCCGGCUCAACCGGGGAGGGUCAUUGGAAACUGGGAAACUUGAGUGCAGAAGAGGAGAGUGGAAUUCCACGUGUAGCGGUGAAAUGCGUAGAGAUGUGGAGGAACACCAGUGGCGAAGGCGACUCUCUGGUCUGUAACUGACGCUGAGGAGCGAAAGCGUGGGGAGCGAACAGGAUUAGAUACCCCAGUAGUCCCUGUCUCUUAUAC
This 301-nucleotide ribosomal RNA is filed under the name uncultured bacterium. RNAcentral's name for it is "partial 16S ribosomal RNA". It matches the Rfam family "Bacterial small subunit ribosomal RNA", at positions 509 to 807 of the family's 1533-position model. The record is from RNAcentral.